CCAGGCCCAAGGUCAGCAGCAGGCGCGAAAAUUAUCGAAGCCCGCCUAGGGGCGAUAGUGAGGAGACGUGUAUAACGAAGUACGUGUAAAGAACGUGCUAAUAACUGGAGGUCAAGUCUGGUGCCAGCAUCCGCGGUAAUUCCAGCUCCAGGGGUGUCUAUGAUGAUUGCUGCGAUUAAAAAGUCCGUAGUCAAUCUGACUGACUGACCUGCAAUGUGAUUGAUUAAAGAACGAGCAGGGUUAGGAAAGCAGAGAAUUAGGAGCGACCGAGGGCUAGAGUAUUGAAUGGCGAGAGGUGAAAUUUGAUGACCCAUUCAGGAGUGACAAAGGCGAAGGCACUAGUCAAGGGCGAAUCCGAUGAUCAAGGACGUAGGCUAGAGUUUCGAAAACGAUUAGAGACCGGAGUAGUUCUAGCAGUAAACUAUGCCGACGCCGUGGUAUCAACAAUGGUAUUGCGGAAGAGAAAUCAAGUAAGGCUUUGGGGAGAGUACGCGCGCAAGCGAUAAAUU
RNAcentral lists this ribosomal RNA (509 nucleotides) under Dictyocoela sp. 3 JEI-2011. RNAcentral describes it as "partial small subunit ribosomal RNA". It matches the Rfam family "Microsporidia small subunit ribosomal RNA", at positions 269 to 778 of the family's 1311-position model. Lineage: Eukaryota; Fungi; Microsporidia. The record is from RNAcentral.